Long non-coding RNA from Betta splendens (Siamese fighting fish), 2937 nucleotides. RefSeq lists it as uncharacterized. The record is from RefSeq and is a predicted model, not a curated record. The transcript is spliced from 2 exons. NCBI's taxonomy places the organism in Eukaryota, Metazoa, Chordata, Actinopteri, Anabantiformes, Osphronemidae.
GCUCCACAUGACGUAGUUGUAUAAAUAAGCACUUGCAGCUCUCCUUGCCCCAAUCAAGUCUGAAUCAAUGCCUCGGGGUGAUGCGCGAGCUCAUUUCAGAUGUUCACCCAUGCAUGGAUUCGGGAAGAUUGAGGCACUUCUGAGGCUCUUUGAAUUACUUGGGAAAUGUAGACAGCGUCGGAAUAGCAUGUUUAAAGCGAUCCCUUUUGUAAAAUCCCUUCAGAUGAACAGUGAUAAUUAUUCUGUGGCGGCAAGGAGUGCUGUUCCGUGCACAUCUGGAUGUAGGAUUGAAGUGAGUUACCCCCGCCAUGACAGAGGACGGAAACACCCGCUUCUACGCCCCCUACUGGUCAGAGCACCAACUUGUUCUGUACAGCUGAAGUUUAGGAGUGAGGCUGAAUUAGAAGAUCACCCAACACAUGAGGCAGAAAAGUAUAGAUUAAGAUAAAUUAUUGAUUUGACACAAUAUUUAUAAAUAUUUUAUAUAAAUGAGUCUUCCUCCAGCAAGAAAAGAAAAUCCGAGUUUGCUUUUAAGUUUGAGCAUCAGAUAAAAAACCAAGGAACCAGCGAGUCAUGAAUCAGACAUGCAGCACAAGCAGACCUAAAGACCUAAAUUGCUUUUGAGGACGGGCCAACUGCACCAUCUUGAUGAUUGUGGAGCGAUUAACCCCAGCGUUCAGGGAUACGAGGCUACAAAUGCACUGUGCGCGCGCACACCUGAGGCCCGUUCCACGCAAAUGGAUCCCAUUCGGUGUGAGAUCCUCUCAUCCGUAUUCCAAAUAUGCAUCAGAUGUUGCCUAACUAAGCAACGCAUGAGGCGCCUGGUGCCAAAAGACAAACUCAUUGUUCCAGCGCUGUCCUGGGCUUGCGCCGCAGUGUGGUGGACAAAUUAUCCGGAUUGGUUGCAGAUGUGCGUUCGCCCCGAACACAAACCGCCUCGCCUGAAUGACAUCACGAGCUCGCGAGAGCGUGCGAAACCAAGAAGGGAAGAGAGAGAAGAACCCUGGAGAACGUGUGGAGCUCUGGGGCGGGUAUUAAUCUGCUGAUCAGUCCCCACUGUUAGCAUUGAAACCCACAGGCCGCUGCUCCUCAAAACCAACACAGUUGAGUCUAAAGCUGCAGUUUGACACAGUUGGUGAACUGGAAGCACUGUGUUACGGUCUGAGCCGCACGACUCCAUAUUUUAGUGGCCGGGAGCGAAACAGUCUUCAGGCCUGAACAACUCCAUCACCUCCGGUUUGAGCGAAGACGGCGGAAUAUUUCGGCGCCGCGUGAGCAGCUGCUUCACCUACCGACGGACACUCGGGCUCCGGCGAAUAAAUACGAGGCGCCGGUGCAGCCUCGGUCCAUAUUAAUAACUCCCACUCCACUCGCCACACCCCUCUAAUGGCCCGUGGUUAUGUAAGGGAGUGGGAUGGAUGAGGGAGAGGGCCGAAGCUGCUCCAGAGCCUGACUCAAUCUGCCCCGCGGGGUUGCACAGUUUUAGGCCACAACUCUUCAUCAAGUACUGAAAAUACUUCAUCAGACUUGGAGAAUGACUCCGGUUGGAUGAUCAGGUAAAUCUAUAUAAAAGCGCCAGCAUAAAUAUGCACAAUAUUUAGCAUGUGUUAAAUAUUAAUCACGCUCUUUUGUUCAGCUACUAAAGGCACAUUGUAAACACAAGACACGCACUCGUGCCUUUCUCCAGAAACUUCCUUUGGCAAACACGGCGCGCGAGUGGCUGGGAACCACUUCGCACCGAGACGAAAGUGAUCGAAGGCGAAGGUUUUCCCCCGACGUAACCUUUCUCUGUAACCGAGAGACGAGGGGCGAUGCUGCGUGUCAUCCCUCGCAGCCCCACUCACCAGUUCAACCAUCCCACCCACAGUGGACAGAGGAGUCACUGUCACCACUGUGAGGGGAGGAGAGACAAGGGUGGGGGAGGGGGUGUUUGGGUAAUGCUGGGAGGCUCUAAUAAAAUGUAAUCCUAUUAUAUGGUUCCCACUAGAGGGCAACAAUAAUAAAGGUUUCCCUAAUAACACAAGCAGACCAAACCCAAAUGGAAAACAGCUCCUCCGGUAAAGUCCCACACUUGUACAUAUAUCCUCUCAUUAACCCAGUUGCUGUUGGGCCAAAUUACACCGACAGGCCUUCGAGAUUCAGUUGCGAUGGCGAAGCAAGAGUUAAGUCAAACAAAUGUGUUUCAUCAAACUGCAGUUUGGGCUCCUCUGCAUAAAGGAAUUGAAGCGGGAAGAGGCGGAGUGAGGGAAUGUGUGCGGGUGAGAAGUUGGAAGCGGAGCCCCGAGGAAACCAAUCAGAGCCUCGGCCCCCUCCCUUCCUGAGUCAAAGCCACCGGGGUCUCAGGUGUGCCUUACAUGAGCUAAUACCUUCCAAACCUGAUUGUUUGUGUUAGAGUAAUCAGACUUUUCUAAAUUAUCAUUUUGGAAAUGAAGGUCCCGCCGUCGAUAAACAAAAUAUAGUGGGGCGACUUCACAACCUACAAAUGUGACGACAAGAGUUCCAUCGUCCAGAUGAUCACGAAGUUUAAAUCUUCCUCGUGGACCAGACUGGGGGAAAGGUUUCCAGCUUUGAAGAAUAUGGAGUUUGAUCCGGUGAGGGGCUCCACGAACACUGGAAAAGUUAAAAGAGGCCGAUGUUAACGAGAAGUGGCAGCGAAAGGACGUAAACACAAACUCCCGUAUUUAUGUGAUUUGAUAAAGUAAUGAAGGAGUUGCUCCACUUCUGAGCUGUCGCACGCAAAUGCAGCCAAAUAUUUAUCACAAGUGACAAGCAUCAGACGGAGGGAGAGAGAGUGUCGCAUGCCUUCCUGUUCCUGUACCAGCCUCCAACCCCAGAGCCGCAGACUCAAGGCAGUUUCCAGAAUCAAACAAUUUCACGCAGCUACUGGAGGAGGAAAUGAACUGAGCCCAGAGCAAUAAUAAAAUUAUACAAAUGUUA